UAGGGAAUCUUCCACAAUGGACGCAAGUCUGAUGGAGCAACGCCGCGUGAGUGAAGAAGGGUUUCGGCUCGUAAAGCUCUGUUGGUAGUGAAGAAAGAUAGAGGUAGUAACUGGCCUUUAUUUGACGGUAAUUACUUAGAAAGUCACGGCUAACUACGUGCCAGCAGCCGCGGUAAUACGUAGGUGGCAAGCAUUGUCCGGAUUUAUUGGGCGUAAAGCGAGUGCAGGCGGUUCAAUAAGUCUGAUGUGAAAGCCUUCGGCUCAACCGGAGAAUUGCAUCAGAAACUGUUGAACUUGAGUGCAGAAGAGGAGAGUGGAACUCCAUGUGUAGCGGUGGAAUGCGUAGAUAUAUGGAAGAACACCAGUGGCGAAGGCGGCUCUCUGGUCUGCAACUGACGCUGAGGCUCGAAAGCAUGGGUAGCGAACAGGAUUAGAUACCCUGGUAGUCCAUGCCGUAAACGAUGAGUGCUAAGUGUUGGGAGGUUUCCGCCUCUCAGUGCUGCAGCUAACGCAUUAAGCACUCCGCCUGGGGAGUACGACCGCAAGGUUG
RNAcentral lists this ribosomal RNA (550 nucleotides) under uncultured bacterium. Its description in RNAcentral is "bacterial SSU rRNA". It matches the Rfam family "Bacterial small subunit ribosomal RNA", at positions 355 to 896 of the family's 1533-position model. The record is from RNAcentral.